Molecule: transfer RNA, 88 nt
Filed under: Candidatus Altimarinota bacterium
Lineage: Bacteria; Candidatus Altimarinota
Description: tRNA-Leu
Rfam family: tRNA
About the family: Transfer RNA (tRNA) molecules are approximately 80 nucleotides in length. Their secondary structure includes four short double-helical elements and three loops (D, anti-codon, and T loops).
Source: RNAcentral
GCGCAGGUGGUGAAAUGGUAGACACGCACGCUUGAGGGGCGUGUGGGACGUUCGUCCCGUGAGGGUUCAAGUCCCUCUCUGCGCACCA